CCCAGACUCCUACGGGAGGCAGCAGUGGGGGAUAUUGCACAAUGGGGGGAACCCUGAUGCAGCGACGCCGCGUGGGUGAAGGAGCGUUUCGGCGCGUAAAGCCCUAUCGGCAGGGAAGAAGGAGGACGGUACCUGACUAAGAAGCCCCGGCUAACUACGUGCCAGCAGCCGCGGUAAUACGUAGGGGGCAAGCGUUAUCCGGAUUUACUGGGUGUAAAGGGGGCGCAGACGGCAGCGCAAGCCAGGAGUGAAAGCCCGGGGCCCAACCCCGGGACUGCUCUUGGAACUGCGCGGCUGGAGUGCGGGAGGGGCAGGCGGAAUUCCUGGUGUAGCGGUGAAAUGCGUAGAUAUUAGGAGGAACACCAGUGGCGAAGGCGGCCUGCUGGACUGCAACUGACGUUGAGGCCCGAAAGCGUGGGGAGCAAACAGGAUUAGAUACCCGUGUA
Molecule: ribosomal RNA, 446 nt
Filed under: uncultured bacterium
Lineage: Bacteria
Description: partial 16S ribosomal RNA
Rfam family: Bacterial small subunit ribosomal RNA
Source: RNAcentral